Molecule: non-coding RNA, 74 nt
Organism: Parelaphostrongylus tenuis
Lineage: Eukaryota; Metazoa; Nematoda; Chromadorea; Rhabditida; Metastrongylidae
Source: the annotation of a GenBank genome assembly
GCCUCGGUGGUGUAGUGGGUGCAGCCCACGGAGCCGGUAUUGGUUAGACGCGGGUUCAACUCCCGCCUGGAAUA